This 24-nucleotide non-coding RNA is filed under the name Cricetulus griseus (Chinese hamster). Lineage: Eukaryota; Metazoa; Chordata; Mammalia; Rodentia; Cricetidae. The record is from RNAcentral. RNAcentral also lists the same sequence under 1 other name.
AGAUCAGGCUGGCCUAGAACUCUC